GACGAACGCUGGCGGCGUGCCUAAUACAUGCAAGUCGAGCGGACAGAAUGGGAGCUUGCUCUUGUUCGGUCAGCGGCGGACGGGUGAGUAACACGUGGGCAACCUGCCCGCAAGACCGGGAUAACUCCGGGAAACCGGAGCUAAUACCGGAUAACAUCGAAGACCGCAUGGUCUUUGGUUGAAAGGCGGCUCAAGCUGCCACUUGCGGAUGGUCCCGCGCGCCUUUAGCUAGUGGGGAAGGUAACGGCUAACCAAGGCAACGAUGCGUAGCCGCCCUGAGGGGGGAACCGGCAACAUUGGAACGGGAACACGCUCAAGACUCCUAGGGAGGGCGCCGUAGGGAAUUCUCCGCAAAGGGCGGAAGGCUGACGGGGCGACCCCGGGUGGGCGAAGAAGGGCUUCGGGUCGUAAAGCUCCGGUGUGAGGGACGAAAGAGCGCCGUUUGAAGAAGGCGGCGCGGUGACGGUACCUCACGAGGAAGCCCCGGCUAACUACGUG
This 498-nucleotide ribosomal RNA is filed under the name uncultured bacterium. RNAcentral describes it as "partial 16S ribosomal RNA". It matches the Rfam family "Bacterial small subunit ribosomal RNA", at positions 28 to 507 of the family's 1533-position model. The record is from RNAcentral.